This 169-nucleotide ribosomal RNA is filed under the name uncultured bacterium. RNAcentral's name for it is "partial 16S ribosomal RNA". It matches the Rfam family "Bacterial small subunit ribosomal RNA", at positions 338 to 524 of the family's 1533-position model. The record is from RNAcentral.
CCUACGGGAGGCAGCAGUGGGGAAUAUUGCACAAUGGGCGAAAGCCUGAUGCAGCAACGCCGCGUGAGCGACGAAGGCCUUCGGGUCGUAAAGCUCUGUCCUAUGGGAAGAUAAUGACGGUACCAUAGGAGGAAGCCCCGGCUAACUACGUGCCAGCAGCCGCGGUAAU